Molecule: ribosomal RNA, 549 nt
Filed under: uncultured Glomeromycotina
Lineage: Eukaryota; Fungi; Glomeromycota
Description: SSU rRNA
Rfam family: Eukaryotic small subunit ribosomal RNA
Source: RNAcentral
UUGGAGGGCAAGUCUGGUGCCAGCAGCCGCGGUAAUUCCAGCUCCAAUAGCGUAUAUUAAAGUUGUUGCAGUUAAAAAGCUCGUAGUUGAAUUUCGGGAUCAAUAUAUUGGUCGUGCCUCUGGUAUGCACUGGUAUUAUUGAUUUCUACCUUCUGACGAACUGUGAUGUCAUUAAUUUGGUGUCAUGGGGAAUCAGGACUGUUACUUUGAAAAAAUUAGAGUGUUUAAAGCAGGCACACGCUUGAAUACAUUAGCAUGGAAUAAUGAAAUAGGACGUUUGACCCUAUUUUGUUGGUUUCUAGGAUCGACGUAAUGAUUAAUAGGGAUAGUUGGGGGCAUUAGUAUUCAAUUGUCAGAGGUGAAAUUCUUGGAUUUAUUGAAGACUAACUACUGCGAAAGCAUUUGCCAAGGAUGUUUUCAUUAAUCAAGAACGAAAGUUAGGGGAUCGAAGACGAUCAGAUACCGUCGUAGUCUUAACCAUAAACUAUGCCGACUAGGGAUCGGAUGAUGUUAAUUUUUUAAUGACUCAUUCGGCGCCUUACGGGAAAC